This 93-nucleotide transfer RNA is filed under the name Nitrospirota bacterium. RNAcentral describes it as "Nitrospirae bacterium (hot springs metagenome) tRNA-Ser". It matches the Rfam family "tRNA". Rfam says of the family: Transfer RNA (tRNA) molecules are approximately 80 nucleotides in length. Lineage: Bacteria; Pseudomonadati; Nitrospirota. The record is from RNAcentral.
GGAGGGGUGCCAGAGUGGUUGAAUGGGACGGUCUCGAAAAUCGUUUCUCCCGUAGCCCGGGGGACGAGGGUUCGAAUCCCUCCCCCUCCGCCA